GAUGAACGCUAGCUACAGGCUUAACACAUGCAAGUCGAGGGGAAACGAUAGAGAAAGCUUGCUUUUUCUAGGCGUCGACCGGCGCACGGGUGAGUAACGCGUAUCCAACCUGCCCACCACUUGGGGAUAACCUUGCGAAAGCAAGACUAAUACCCAAUGAUAUCCCUAGAAGACAUCUGAAAGGGAUUAAAGAUUUAUCGGUGAUGGAUGGGGAUGCGUCUGAUUAGCUUGUUGGCGGGGUAACGGCCCACCAAGGCUACGAUCAGUAGGGGUUCUGAGAGGAAGGUCCCCCACAUUGGAACUGAGACACGGUCCAAACUCCUACGGGAGGCAGCAGUGAGGAAUAUUGGUCAAUGGACGAGAGUCUGAACCAGCCAAGUAGCGUGCAGGAUGACGGCCCUAUGGGUUGUAAACUGCUUUUAUAAGGGAAUAAAGUGAGUCUCGUGAGACUUUUUGCAUGUACCUUAUGAAUAAGGACCGGCUAAUUCCGUGCCAGCCGCCGCUGUAA
RNAcentral lists this ribosomal RNA (508 nucleotides) under uncultured bacterium. Its description in RNAcentral is "partial 16S ribosomal RNA". It matches the Rfam family "Bacterial small subunit ribosomal RNA", at positions 28 to 523 of the family's 1533-position model. The record is from RNAcentral.